UACGUAAGGAGCAAGCGUUGUCCGGAUUUACUGGGCGUAAAGGGAGCGUAGGCGGACUUUUAAGUGAGAUGUGAAAUACCCGGGCUCAACUUGGGUGCUGCAUUUCAAACUGGAAGUCUAGAGUGCAGGAGAGGAGAAUGGAAUUCCUAGUGUAGCGGUGAAAUGCGUAGAGAUUAGGAAGAACACCAGUGGCGAAGGCGAUUCUCUGGACUGUAACUGACGCUGAGGCUCGAAAGCGUGGGGAGCAAACAGGAUUAGAUACCCCCGUA
This 269-nucleotide ribosomal RNA is filed under the name uncultured prokaryote. Its description in RNAcentral is "partial 16S ribosomal RNA". It matches the Rfam family "Bacterial small subunit ribosomal RNA", at positions 524 to 792 of the family's 1533-position model. The record is from RNAcentral.